RNAcentral lists this transfer RNA (62 nucleotides) under Dendrobaena tellermanica. Its description in RNAcentral is "tRNA-Gly". The record is from RNAcentral. Lineage: Eukaryota; Metazoa; Annelida; Clitellata; Crassiclitellata; Lumbricidae.
AUGUUUUUAGUAUAUUAGUACAUUUACCUUCCAAGUAAAAAGUUAACUUAGUUAAAAACAUA